UGGCUGCAGCUGGUCGCGGUUAGCCGACGUGCUAACAGAGUUAGCAGCCCGGUGUGUGGACGGACACGUCUACAGUCAGCCCGCUGCCGGACGCUCUGCUACCGCUGGAAAUGCUCGCUGCCAUUCAGGACCUCACUGGCCUGUGCACACCCACACUUUAAGCUCCACUGGCCUGGCCA
Thalassophryne amazonica is the source of this 179-nucleotide long non-coding RNA. RefSeq lists it as uncharacterized. The transcript is spliced from 3 exons. NCBI's taxonomy places the organism in Eukaryota, Metazoa, Chordata, Actinopteri, Batrachoidiformes, Batrachoididae. The record is from RefSeq and is a predicted model, not a curated record.